Molecule: long non-coding RNA, 1056 nt
Filed under: Canis lupus familiaris (dog)
Lineage: Eukaryota; Metazoa; Chordata; Mammalia; Carnivora; Canidae
Description: lncRNA (ENSCAFG00040004251.1)
Source: RNAcentral
AUGAAUAAAAGAGUGGUCCCGAGCACAAAGUGGCAAAUUACACAUUUCGAGACGUGGCGUGAUGCACCCCGCAGCCCCCUCCUCAGCGCCCCCGACACGGACGCCGCGGCCCGGCCCGCUCCGGCCUCGCCACGCCCGGCGGCGCGGGUCCGAGCAGGGGCGGGUCCUGCAAACUACGAGCGGCCCGUGGCCCGGGACAAACUUCUGGCGGAGGCGCAGCCCUGGCGCGGCCCGCCGGCCGGAGCCAGGCGCAGGGCAGACGCCGCGGCCGGGGAGGCGGGAGCGGGUGCGAGCCGUGCGGCAGCUCCUCUCCGCGGGGGCCGCGCCGCACCGGGACGGCGGGGGCGGCGGGGGCGCGGGGGCAGCGGGGGCGCGGGCGCGGGGCGCGGGCGGCCGCCCCGGCCGAGCUCCCUCCCGAGCUCCCUCCCGAGCUCCCUCCUGAGCUCCCUCCCGGAGGCGGCGGCGGCCGAGCGCCGGGGCGCGGGCGGCGGGCGGCGGGGCCGGGCGCUCACGCCCUCUAGCGGGCCGCGGCGGCGCCGGGCGGCCGUGACGUGGGCGCUCCCUCCAGCCGGCCUGCGGGGCACCGCCAGUCAGUCGGGGAGCAGGAGCCCCGCGCGCAGCCGGCGCGGGCUCGGCCAGCGGCCAGCGGCCAUCGGCGCCCCCGGGGCUGCGCUCGCGGCUGGCGGCGACCGGGCUGCGGGCGGGACGCGCGCGCCCCCCGCCACCGCCACGGCCGGCGCCGGCGCCUCGGGUCCCGAGCAGGGGAAGGAGAGCGGCGGCGGGUGCAGGCGCCGGCUCGGCACGGAGGGCGGCUCUGGGCUCCGCGGGCGCGCCCUCCGCUGCCUCUCGCGGCCGCGCGGGCUGCGAGCGGGGCCGGCGGCCGGGGAGCGGGACCCGGGCCCUUCGCCCCCGCCCCCGCCCCCGCCCCGGGCGCUGCCGGAGUUCGGACUCGGGCAAGUGCGGGCGCCGCGGGGCUCGGGCUGUGCUUGCGGCUGCGCAGCUUCGCCCGUGGCCGCCCGGAGCCCCGAGCCCCGUCCGCCCUCCGCCCCCGCCCGC